This 253-nucleotide ribosomal RNA is filed under the name uncultured bacterium. Its description in RNAcentral is "partial 16S ribosomal RNA". It matches the Rfam family "Bacterial small subunit ribosomal RNA", at positions 524 to 776 of the family's 1533-position model. The record is from RNAcentral.
UACGUAGGGGGCUAGCGUUGUCCGGAUUUAUUGGGCGUAAAGAGUGUGUAGGCGGCCAGGUAGGUCUGCUGUGAAAACUCGAGGCUCAACCUCGAGACGUCGGCGGAAACCAUCUGGCUAGAGUCCGGAAGAGGAGAGUGGAAUUCCUGGUGUAGCGGUGAAAUGCGCAGAUAUCAGGAAGAACACCCGUGGCGAAGGCGGCUCUCUGGGACGGUACUGACGCUGAGACGCGAAAGCGUGGGGAGCGAACAGG